This 717-nucleotide ribosomal RNA is filed under the name uncultured Alphaproteobacteria bacterium. Its description in RNAcentral is "bacterial SSU rRNA". It matches the Rfam family "Bacterial small subunit ribosomal RNA", at positions 771 to 1499 of the family's 1533-position model. Lineage: Bacteria; Pseudomonadati; Pseudomonadota; Alphaproteobacteria. The record is from RNAcentral.
AAGAGGAUUAGAUACCCUCGUAGUCCAUGCCGUAAACGAUGUGUGUUAGACGUUGGAAAUUUAUUUUCAGUGUCGCAGGGAAACCGAUAAACACACCGCCUGGGGAGUACGACCGCAAGGUUAAAACUCAAAUGAAUUGACGGGGACCCGCACAAGUAGUGGAGCAUGUGGUUUAAUUCGAAGAUACGCGCAGAACCUUACCAACACUUGACAUGUUCGUCGCGACUCUAAGAGAUUAGAGUUUUCGGUUCGGCCGGACGAAACACAGGUGCUGCAUGGCUGUCGUCAGCUCGUGUCGUGAGAUGUUGGGUUAAGUCCCGCAACGAGCGCAACCCUCACUUUUAGUUGCCAUCAUUAAGUUGGGCACUCUGAAAGAACUGCCAGUGAUAAGCUGGAGGAAGGUGGGGAUGACGUCAAGUCCUCAUGGCCCUUACGUGUUGGGCUACACACGUGCUACAAUGGUAUCUACAACAGGAAGCAAGACUGCGAAGUUAAGCAAAUCCCUAAAAGAUACCUCAGUUCGGAUUGCACUCUGCAACUCGAGUGCAUGAAGCUGGAAUUACUAGUAAUCGUGGAUCAGCGUGCCACGGUGAAUGCGUUCCCGGGUCUUGUACACACCGCCCGUCACACCAUGGGAGUUGGUUCUACCUUAAGGCAAGGUUUCAAACCCUUGACCACGGUAUAGUCAGCGACUGGGGUGAAGUCGUAACAAGGUAA